UUAAUAACUGGGAAAGACUUCGAAGGAAGUGGUCAUAGCCAAUUUUUUGAUUCUGCUCUAGUGCUUUGUUGGAGUGAACGAAGAAAAUAAAGAAGGAAUUCCACUGAGAUUUGGCUAACACUUACAAGGCGAAAUAAUAUUAUUUUUCGAGCAGCCAGCCGUGUCGAUAUUGUGUCAGAUUUCAACGUUUCUACGAAUACGUGUGUCUCUCCAUCUUCAAGGUAGGUUAACGAAUGUAGCAGUUGGUAGCAGCGCCAGUCAUCCGGGUGGCAAUAUGGCUGACGGUGUUUGCGUGUAGUAUGAAGUGCUUUCAAGAACAUGUGAUUCUGAAGUAAGUGGGGACUGUGGUGUACACCCCUGGUACAAAUGAACCAGGCCACAUGCAGACGCAGAACUAGCGCCAACGAGCUCUCUUUGUCACACGUACAACAAAGUGAGGCAACGAGAUUGUCAUCAGGAAAUUUUGUGUGUGUUCGCGUUUACGUAACAUUGACACUGCACCCACUCGUCGUAUCUGAAUGCGUCUAGAAGAUCACCGUAGGUCAACAUUUUCGCUACAGAAAGGAAUGUUUUCCCAAUUUGUAUUAUUUUAUGUAGCCACACAGCCUUCUUCUUGUUAAUGUUUCUGUAUAUAAAUUAUCUGAGAUAUAUUUAUAUGACAUUUUAAAUUCUCCCAUAUUUUUGCACCAAAUAACAUAUUUCUCAAAGCAAAGUAACGUAAAGUAAAAUAAGAGCAAAUGAAUAUAAUUCUGUACAUGAAAAUUGCACUGGUACGAAACUUUGUAUUGCACGAUAUUGUUUUUUGUUGUUGUUGUUGUUGCUAUGUGUGCUUCUGGCGUUGAAUGGCAAUGAAGAGUGGGAAGAAACCAGACCGAAAUUACAAAGGAAAAUAACAGAAACGUAAUAAAUCCUGAAGUUUCCAAUGUUAAAUUAUAUUCUGUGAUAAGAGAGAAGAGGUAAAGUUCUCUUUGCGGUAUAUUAAACACCACGCCUUAAUGACCUACUUAUUUUUGUGCUCAGAUAACACACCAGGUUAUGAAGACGCAAACCCUUAGAGCUCAGUGGUAACUACAUAUACCACAUGCUGUUACAGUCAGUAAGUCUGUAUUUUGUAUGUGAAUUUCAUAUUAUCCUUACAAUAAACUUAGAUUAUUACCUUAAGCAGCAGCUGAUCCUAGUAAUGGUGAAGCGUUGUGUUUACUUUGCGGUACGGGCUGGAUUAUUAAGGAUUAUAAAGCCGAAGUUCGGCUUCACACGGUUCAUCUACUGCAAUGCUAUAAAAAGUAUGGGGGAAGUGGAUUGUAUUUUUAACCACGGCCCAAGAUGACUGUUAGUGGCCAGCAUCACGCUUCGGCAACUUUACCGUCUUACGGGAAAGCCCUGGUGUAGACCACAGCAUAGGCUAAGGU
This is a non-coding RNA of Zootermopsis nevadensis, 1409 nucleotides long. The record is from RefSeq and is a predicted model, not a curated record. Lineage: Eukaryota; Metazoa; Arthropoda; Insecta; Blattodea; Termopsidae.